AAGCAAGCAAGCCCUCAAAGGAACUGAGAAAAUUUCUCCCCACUUUGUUCUGAGGGGUCUCAGCUACUCUGGUAUUUAAAAUAAAUUGGUUUUGAAAAAUAGGUUACUGCCCUUUAGUUGAUGACUAAAACAGAAGCCAAGAAGUGUGCAAAUUGCAAACUGACAUGCAUGAGCCAAGCGUAUUCUCUGAAAUGACAAUGUUCAAGACGCAGCUAAAGUCACCACUCUGGCGGUAAGCGUGUUACAGAGAACUAGAUUUCUUUCCGGCAUCCGCAACUUGGCUGGAGUGACCAAGGAGGAGUUGAAGAGCGCUGGAGAUGCGAGAGAAGGAACAAGCUAUAAAUCGGGCUGGAAUUGUUCAAGAGGAUGUGCAGCCACCAGGGUUAAAAGUGUGGUCUGAUCCAUUUGGCAGGAAAUGAGAGGGCUGUCACCAGCUCUGAUUAAGAAAGGAGAUUUCUUCAUGCUUUCGAUUCUGCAUGGGGUACAGUCAGUCACCUCACCAGAGAAUGACGGCUGGAGAAGAAAAUUCUAAUACCAUAAAUGAGAGUGCUUGUAAUAAAAGACUGUGCACAAGGAUUAAUAUUUCCCUUCUUAAGUAUCAAAAGAACUCUGGAACAAAUUAUACCAUUAGGAAGGUUUUCAUGAUUCAGUAGAUUUUCCAAAAAUGAAGCUAUCUCACCCAGCUGGGUUUGGAGCAAUCUGCUUAUUAUUCUGUCGUUACCACUUACUCAAGCGAGCUGUGAUAUGAAUACAAGCAACCAGUGGGCU
This 768-nucleotide small RNA is filed under the name Pongo abelii (Sumatran orangutan). RNAcentral's name for it is "processed transcript". Lineage: Eukaryota; Metazoa; Chordata; Mammalia; Primates; Hominidae. The record is from RNAcentral.